UGGUAUAACUCCAUCAUCGUUAUACAUAAACUCACAGAUGUCGAGUUUCCUUCUAAUGCGCUUCUCGUGUUUCCAGCGUAAAAUGAUGCAGACCAUACUUGUAUGUUUUAAUUUAAUGUUGCUGUGUGCGUAUUUAGGUGCAAAUGCUGUUCCAGAUAUUCCGACCCAGCCUCUCCAGUGUGUGGGGAGGCCAGCACCAGGGCGGGACGGUAAAGAUGGCCUUCCAGGCACUGCCGGGACGGAUGGAAGAGACGGCUUGACGGGACGA
Long non-coding RNA from Priapulus caudatus, 268 nucleotides. RefSeq lists it as uncharacterized. The transcript is spliced from 2 exons. NCBI's taxonomy places the organism in Eukaryota, Metazoa, Priapulida, Priapulimorpha, Priapulimorphida, Priapulidae. The record is from RefSeq and is a predicted model, not a curated record.